GCUGCUGUAGCUCACCUGGUAGAGCGUCGGCGUCGUAUCCCGAAGGCAUCCGGUUCAAGUCCGGACAGCAGCUC
Molecule: transfer RNA, 74 nt
Filed under: Mycobacterium phage InterFolia
Lineage: Duplodnaviria; Heunggongvirae; Uroviricota; Caudoviricetes
Also listed under: 3 other names
Description: tRNA-Thr
Rfam family: tRNA
About the family: Transfer RNA (tRNA) molecules are approximately 80 nucleotides in length. Their secondary structure includes four short double-helical elements and three loops (D, anti-codon, and T loops).
Source: RNAcentral